Molecule: ribosomal RNA, 164 nt
Filed under: uncultured bacterium
Lineage: Bacteria
Description: partial 16S ribosomal RNA
Rfam family: Bacterial small subunit ribosomal RNA
Source: RNAcentral
UGGGGAAUUUUGGACAAUGGGCGCAAGCCUGAUCCAGCCAUGCCGCGUGCAGGAUGAAGGCCUUCGGGUUGUAAACUGCUUUUGUACGGAACGAAACGGCCUUUUCUAAUAAAGAGGGCUAAUGACGGUACCGUAAGAAUAAGCACCGGCUAACUACGAGCCAG